UUUUUACAUAGAAAUUUUGUACUCUGAUUUUUUUUUUACACUGACUUUUUAUACUCUUGUUACUUUCCACGUAGUGGUGGUUUGUUUGUUUUGUGUUUCUUCUUCUUUUGUUUGUACAGGUCACACUCAAUCACUGCCUCUGCUGCUAAUCAACCAGUUCCUGUUCCCAGCUGCUCCUCAUUUCACCUGUUGAUCAGCCAGCCAAUCCCAGUCCACCAUUCAUCAUCCUGUGCUGCUUAAAACCACCUGCUCACCACUGGAUCGGGUAGAUUCUUUUUCUGACAUGCUAUGUGGAGCUUUGAGAGAUGUUACUUUGUCUUUGGCGCUAUUUUGUUUUGUAAUCAUUUUUGUUAAGCUCUUUGCUAAACUUGUGCCACCUGUUUUUUUGUCUUCCUUUUUGUUUGACCUUUCAACUUUUGUUGAAUGGCAGGAGCCCACCCACUGAAGGGAGUUGGAAAAAUAUACAAUUGUCGCCGUGCAGAGAUUAAAAAGUCCACGUUGUCCAGCACGAUUAAUCCUGUGCCUUGUCCAUACUGAGAGCUGCUACCCAUUGCGACAGCCACGCCGCAGUCUAGCUGGCGACACACAACUUGGGCAUCCACCAUGUCCCAGUCAUCAUCGCAGACUGUG
Entelurus aequoreus (snake pipefish) is the source of this 630-nucleotide long non-coding RNA. RefSeq lists it as uncharacterized. The record is from RefSeq and is a predicted model, not a curated record. NCBI's taxonomy places the organism in Eukaryota, Metazoa, Chordata, Actinopteri, Syngnathiformes, Syngnathidae. The transcript is spliced from 3 exons.